GUUCAGUAUUUUAAAGUCGUUUUAAAAUGGGCUUUAUGGUCUUUUUUUCACCCAUUUUAACACCUAGAUAUGUCAAAAUGAAGCAUAGAACUUUAGAAUCAUCCAAAGCAUCAAGAACUAGGGUUUUCUCUCAAGAUUAACCCUCAAAAGCAAAUCCAAAUCUUUCUCCAAGAACCUUAAGAUUCCACCAUAGUUUCUACAAAUUAAGUAAAGAUUCAAGGUUCUCAAAUCAAAAGCUUCAAGAACCCUCACUCAAGAGUAAGAAAAAGAUCCUCAAGCAAACUUGUUCAUCUACAAGUCAUAAUCUAAGGUAUCUGGGGUUUGAAAAAGGACACUCCUUUCGUCAUUGUGCCCAAAAGUUGUUUUAAUUACAAAGAUAUAUGGUUUUACAUGUUUUCUUAUGAAAUUGAAGUAUGGGUUUAUACCCUAUGUUAUUAUUUCUUCAGAUUAUGAUAGUUUUAGUGUUUUAGAAAUUGAAGUACAUGAGUAUGUUGAGAUUAUAAUGCAAUUGCUGAAAAUUUCCAGAUUUCUAUAUGAUUUAUGAAUCUUUAUGAUAUCGAGUAUGAAUUUUGAUAUGUCUUAAUGUGAGAUUGAUAUAUUGGUCAUUAAGCCUUAUUUGAGAUUGUAAUGUUAAGAACUUUUGUGCUAUAAGCACCCAUGGUUUGAGUAUUUUGAGAUUAUUGAAAAAGUUUUGACCUUGACGGUCAUAGUAGCUUUGAAAUCCACUAUUCUAAAUGAGAUUACAAAUUUUAUAGUUGGGUUCUUUAUGAACCAUGAGAUUAUUUUAAAGUGGAUUUCCAUGAGAUAAGUGUAGCUAACUAAAGGGAGUAGUAUUUAGCACCGAGUUGGGUAAGUUACUACAGUUUCAUAUCCCAAAACUACGUGCCAUCGUAGGAUUGAGAUUUAUGGGCCCAAGGCCGAGAUAGUGAUCACUGAGUUGAGGCUAUACUCCCUGGAAAAAGUAUGACGCCUCUCCCCAACGUGAGGUUUCUUCCUUAUGAGGAUAAGACGUUGGACUCCAUGUAGCUCGCAUGGUGUAUGUUGGUUAACAAAACCUCCCUAAUAGCAAGAUUUUUCAGAGUAGUUUCUUGAAGUAAAAUUUUCCCAGGAAGAAAGUAGUUUUUCCUAUUAGUAAGAGUAAGUAAUUAGUUUCUAAAGUAAAGUAUGUUCCUUGAGAUGAGAUUUAUACUAUGUGUUUCAUUAUUUAUAAUUUACGAGAUAUGCAUUUUGAGAUUAUUCGAGCUAUGUGAGUCAGUUAUAUUAGCAGGCAUGAUUUCUAUAAAGAUUGAUGAUAUUAUUAUUUUAAGUAUCACAUACACCCCCAUAUACUCAGUAAAUCCUCAAAGUAUUGAUCCACAUAUACGUUUGUCUGCUACAUUGUCUAAUAAUGUAGGUUCAGGUGCUCAGUCUCAGCAGCGUUAGUGAUCUUCAAGUACCUUGAUCUACGCCUCCAUAGUUGGUGAGUCCUCAUGGUUUGAGGACCUUUUUUGCCUGAUUUCAUUCUUUAUAGUAGUUGGGUUAUUUCAUUUCAGUUGAGUAUGAGCCAGUUGGGGAUUUGUCCCAAUGGCUCUCUAGUUCUUGAGUAGUAGAGGCUUUGUCAGACUAGACUAUUAGUGGUGUUUUAGACUUUUCAGCAUGUUGUUAUUCAGACAGUAUGCUUUUGUUAUUUCAGUUGAGAUAUGUUAUGACUGUGCCAUUAUUUUGCUUUAUCCAUUUAAAAGUAAGUGUCAGAAGUAGUAAUAGGCUCAAAGGGUUAGCUUAGGGCUACUUGUAACCUUAAGCACCGUGUGACAUCUCAGAAUGAGCUUUUGGGACGUUACAAACUUACUAUCAGGGCCUAAGGUUUAAAGAGACCUAGGUAGUCUGACAAGCCGCGUUAAGUAAAGUCUUGAUCAUCGGUGUGUAGCACGCCACAUCUAUAAGCAAGAGGCUAUAAAAUGUUUUAGGAAAAAGUUCUCUUUCAUUCAGAAUCUAUCGUGCUUACAGUUGUUUCUCUCAGUUAUUAAUUCAUGCUCUCUUAUUUCAAAAAAUGCCUCCCCGAAGAGCUAAUGCCUAUAGGAAUGAUAACGAGCAACCUCAGCCUGUUGAUCCCUUGAAUGAGACUGUCUCAUGCUGAGUUUCGGCGGCCUUUUAGGCGUUAGCCUAAGCAGUCAUUGCAAAUCUCCAGGCCAAUAACCAGGCUGCAAUUUUGUAUCGGAAAGAAGGUGACUUAGCUGUUGCUAGGAUUCGUGAUUUCAUGCGGAUGAAUCCGCCAGAGUUCUAUGGGUCUAAGGCUGGUGAGGACCCACAGUUAUAUCUUAAAGAGGUGAGGAAGAUCACCCAAGUCAUGCAUAUUUUUGAGAAAAAGAGUGUAGAGCUGGCAUCUUAUCGUCUGAAAGACAUUGCUUAUGACUGGGUUGUUGCAUGGAGGAAGAAUAGAGGGGAAGAUAUUGCCUCUAUUACUUGGUAGAUGUUGCAGGAUGCGUUCUUAGAUAAGUUCUUCUCGUUAGAGAUGAGGGAAGCGAAGAUAGAGGAGUUUAUGAAUUUGAGACAGGGCUCCAUGACUGUUAAGGAGUACUGCCUCAAGUUCAACUAGUUAGCCAAGUAUGCUCCUAACGUGGUAGCUAACACCCGAUCUAGUAUGAGUAAGUUCGUGACCAGUGUGUUUGGUUUGGUGCUAAAAGAGUGUAGGAUUGUUAUGCUAAAUAGGGAUAUAGAUUUGUCCAGGCUGAUGAUGCACGCUCAAUAGAUUGAGGAAGAUAAGCUAAGGGAAAAAGAUAGAGUAAUAGAAAAUAAGAGGGCUAGAUUGGAGCAGUUUGAGCAUGGCCAGACUAGAACCCAUGGAAGGAACUGACCCUAGUUUCAGGAUCGUUCAUCUAUGCCAGCGCCUUCAUCAGCUAGUGCUCCCGCGCUUAGAAAUAGGCAGGAGCAGGGGAAUAGGCCUUCUAUGUCUAGGUCCCAGAAUAGUGUAAGUAACAAACCUUAUUAUCCUCCAUGUACUAAGUGUGGUAGGGACCAUCCCGGUGAGUUCUUAGCAGAUCAGAGGGGUUGUUUUGGUUGUGGCAAGAUAGGCCAUAGACUUAUAGAGUGCCCGCAUGCUAGGUAGGGGACCAGAGAUGUUCGACCUCAGACUCAGACUACCAGUGCACCAGCUCUUUUAGCCCGUUCAGCCCCUCCUUAGGGCGCUUCAUCCAGUACGGCUGGCGAUUAGUGCCAGAAUAGAUUCUAUGCUUUACUAUCCCGUCAAGAACAAGAGGAUUCUCCCAAUGUUGUUACUGGUAUGCUCCGUGUCUUUCACUUUGAUGUUUAUGUGUUGUUGGACCCUGGGUCAAGUUUCUCUUAUGUGACCCUAUUAGUUGCUGUGAAUUUUGAAAUGAGUCCCACAAAUAUUCUCGAGCCUUUCCUGGUUUCUACUCUAGUAAGUGAAUCAGUUGUUGCUAAGCACGUGUAUGAAAAGUGUCCUGUCACUGUCCUUCAUAGAGUCAUAUUUGCUAAUUUGAUAGAGUAGGAGAUGGUGGAUUUUGAUAUAAUUCUAGGUAUGGAUUAGCUUCACUCUUGCUAUGCAUCUAUAAACUGUCGUACCUGUGUGGUUAAGUUUCAGUUUCCUGAUGAGCCAGUCUUCAAGUGGUCUGAAAGUUCAGUAUCUCCCAAAAUACACUUUAUAUCCUAUCUCAAAGCUAGAAAGUUGAUAUCCAAAGGUUGUAUCUACCAUUUAGUUAGAGUUAAGGACACUAAGUCUGAGAUUUUGACCAUUCAGUCAGUCAGUAUAGUUAAUGAGUUUCCUGAUGUUUUUCCGGAAGAUCUCCCAGGGGUACCUCCUGAUAGAAAGAUAGAAUUUGGGAUUGACCUUCUUCCCGAUACACAGCCUACUUCUAUUCCUCCAUACAGUAUGGCACCUGCAGAGCUUAAGGAGUUGAAAGAGAAACUCAAAGAUCUUCUAGACAAAGGUUUCAUAAGGCCAGUGUUUCUUCUUGGGGCGCACCCAUCCUAUUCGUGCGGAAGAAAGAUGGUUCUUUGUGUAUGUGCAUUGACUAUCGUCAGCUUAAUAAGGUUACAGUCAAGAAUAAGUACCCUCUUUCAAGAAUUGAUGACCUGUUUGAUCAAUUGCAAGGUGUAAGUUAUUUCUCUAAGAUAGACCUUAGAUCCAGCUAUCAUCAGCUUAAAGUGAGGGAAUAUGAUAUUUCAAAGACAGCCUUCCAAACCCGCUAUGAUCACUUUAAAUUUCUAGUCAUGUCUUUCGAGCUAACCAAUGCUCCAGUAGCUUCAUAGACCUCAUGAAUCAAGUGUUCAGACAGUAUCUUGAUAUGUUUGUUAUAGUGUUCAUAGAUGAUAUCCUUGUGUACUCUCAUACUGAGAAUGACCACGCGGAUCAUCUUAGAAUUGUCUUGUAAACUCUUAGAUAUCAUCAGUUAUUCGCCAAAUUCAGCAAGUACGAAUUUUGGAUAAGGUCAGUAGCCUUUCUCGGUCAUAUUAUUUCAGCCGAAGGCAUUAGAGUUAAUCCCCAAAAGACAGAAGCUGUAAGAAAUUGGCCUAGACCUAUCUCUCCGUCAGAUAUUAGAAGUUUCUUGGGUCUAGCUGGCUACUACCGCCGUUUUGUUGGAGGUUUCUCUUCUAUUGCGUUCCCCAUGACCCGGUUGACCCAAAAGAAAUUUAAGUUCCUCUGGUCAGAUUCCUGUGAGAAAAGUUUUCAAAAGUUGAAGACUCGACUCACCUCAGCCCCUGUGUUGACUUUUCCUGAUUGUAUGGAUGAUUUUGUGGUGUAUUGUGAUGCCUCUAGAGUUGGUUUGGGAUAUGUGUUGAUACAGAGAGGUAAGGUUAUAGCUUAUGCCUCUAGACAAUUGAAGCUGCAUGAAAAGAAUUACCCAACCCAUGAUCUUAAAUUAGAUGUUAUGGUUUUUGCUUUGAAAAUCUGGAGACACUAUCUGUAUGGUGUUCAUGUUGAUGUGUUUACAGACCACAAAAGCUUGCAGUAUGUAUUUUCUCAGAGGAAGUUGAAUCUUUGUCAGAGAAAAUGGUUAGAGUUGCUAAAAGAUUAUGAUAUGAGUGUGUUGUAUCAUCCGGGCAAGGCCAACGUAGUGGCAAACGUCCUUAGUAAAGUGUCUAUGGGCAGUGUUGCUCAUGUGGAGAAAGAUAAGAAGGAGUUAGCUCGGGAAGUUCAUCAUUUGGCUAGACUGGGUGUUAGGUUGCUUGAUUUAGCUGAGGGGAAUGUUUCGGUUCAGAAUGGUUCUAAAUCCUCUUUAGUUUCAGAAGUGAAGGAGAAGCAAGACAUGGAUGCUAGUUUGGUCAAACUGAAGGAGUCAUUUAAGGACCAAAAGGUAGAGGUUUUCUCCCAAGGGGGAGAUGGUGUGUUAAGAUGUCAGAAUAGAUUGUGUGUUCCAUGUGUUGGUGAUUCGAGGCAGAGAAUUAUGGCUGAGGACAUGGUGUGCGGUAUUCUAUUCAUCCCGAUGCCACCAAGAUGUACCGCGACUUGCGAGAAGUCUAUUGGUGGAGUGGCAUAAAGAAGGAUAUAGCAGAGUUUGUGGCGAAGUAUGUAACCUGCCAACAGGGUAAGCUAGGGCACCAAAGACCUGGUGGUAAGCUGCAAGAGUUUGGUAUCCCCACUUGGAAGUGGGAAGAGGUGAAUAUGGAUUUCGUGGCUGGUCUACCCCUUUCACGUCGUCAUUUUAUACAGCUGAGGAUUAUGCUAGGUUGUAUAUUCGGGAGUUAGUCAGAUUGCAUGGAGUUUCCUUGUCUAUCAUCUCGGAUAGGGGUACUCAGUUUACUUCUCAGUUUUGGAGAGCUUUUCAGAAGGGUCUUGGUACCCAAGUGCAUCUUAGUUCCGCUUUUCACCCGCAGACAGAUGGUCAGGCUGAGAGAACCAUCCAGACUCUAGAAGAUAUGUUGUGGGCAUGUGCUCUUGAUUUCAAGGGUAGUUGGGAUGAGGAUUUGCCACUGAUUGAGUUUACAUGUAACAAUAGUUAUCACUCUAGCAUUCAGAUGGCACCAUUUGAGGUUUUGUGUGGUAGAAGAUGUAGAUCACCCAUAGGUUGGUUUGAGGUGGGUGAGGCUGCUGUGAAUGGGCAUGCAGUGUUUGAGGCUAUGGAGAAAGUUAAGUUUAGAGAAAAGUUGAAGACUGCCCAGAGUCGUCAAAAGUCAUAUGCCGAUGUGAGAGAAGAGAACUUGAGUUUGAGGUGGGUGACUUGGUGUAUCUGAAGAUUUCACCCAUGAAUGGGGUGAAAACGUUUGGCAAAAAGGGUAAGCUUAGUCCCCGUUAUGUUGGCCCUUAUAGAGUUCUGAGUCGUGUUAGGAGAGCAGCUUAUGAAGUUGAGUUGCCUGCAGAUCUAUCAGUUGUUCAUCCUGUCUUUCACGUCUCCCUGCUUAAGAAGAGCAUUGGUGAUUCCGUUGUUGUAGAUCCUUUGAAGAGCUCAGAUAUUCAAACCAGUCUUUCUUACGAAGAGAUUCUAGUCGAGAUUCUAGACCAUCAGAUUCGUAGACUAUGGAACAAAGAAGUUCCCUUGGUCAAAGUUUUGUGUUAGAAUCAUUCAGUUGAGGGCGCUACUUGGGUAGCGGAAGCAGAUAUGUGAGCCAAGUAGCCGCACCUUUUCUCCGUGAGUUCAGAUCAAGCUAAAGGUAUUAUUCUUCCUUAAUUCAGUUCCUUUCUAAUCAAAUUCAGCUACGUAUUUAGUUAUGUGAAAGCUCUUGCACUUCCCGGAGUAGUAAAAGGUUUCGAAAGAUUUAACUCCGGUUUAGCCAUUUGAUUUAGUUGUGCAUCCUUAGUUCCUCGGUAUCUUAAUCUAACUAGCGACAUUCGAGGAUGAAUGUUUUCAAGGGGAAGAUAUUGUGAUACCCUGUAAAGUUCCCUCGUAGUCUAAGCCUUUAGAGCAUGUCAAGUGAAGCCGUUUUAAAAUGGGCUUUUUGGUCUUUUUCCACCCAUUUUGACACCUAGAUAUAUCAAAACGAAGCAUAGAACUUUAGAAUCAUCCAAAGCAUCAAGAACUAGGAUUUUCUCUCAAGAUUAAUCCUUAAAAGCAAAUCCAAAUCUUUCUCCAAGAACCUUAAGAUUCCACCAUAGUUUCUACCAAUUGAGUUAAGAUUCAAGGUUACCAAGUCAAAAGCUUCAAGAACCAUCACUCAAGAGUACGAAAAAGAGCCUCAAGCAAGCUUGUUCAUCUACAAGUCAUAAUCUAAGGUAUGUGGGGUUUGAACAAGAACACUCUUUUCGUUCUGUGCCCAAAAGUUGUUUUAAUUACAAAGAUAUAUGGUUUUACAUAUUUUCUUAUGAAAUUGAAGUAUGGGUUUAUACCUUAUGUUAUUAUUUCUUGAUAUUAUGAUGGUUUCAAUGUUUUAGAAAUUGAAGUACAUGAGUAUGUUGAGAUUAUAAUGCAAUUGCUGAAAAUUUCCAGAUUUCUAUAUGAUUUAUGAAUCUUUAUGAUAUCGAGUAUGAAUUUUGAUAUGUCUUAAUGUGAGAUUGAUAUAUUGGUCAUUAAGCCUUAUUUGAGAUUGUAAUGUUAAGAACUUUUGUGCUAUAAGCACCCAUGGUUUGAGUAUUUUGAGAUUAUUGAAAAAGUUUUGACCUUGACGGUCAUAGUAGCUUUGAAAUCCACUAUUCUAAAUGAGAUUACAAAUUUUAUAGUUGGGUUCUUUAUGAACCAUGAGAUUAUUUUAAAGUGGAUUUCCAUGAGAUAAGUGUAGCUAACUAAAGGGAGUAGUAUUUAGCACCGAGUUGGGUAAGUUACUACAGUUUCAUAUCCCAAAACUACGUGCCAUCGUAGGAUUGAGAUUUAUGGGCCCAAGGCCGAGAUAGUGAUCACUGAGUUGAGGCUAUACUCCCUGGAAAAAGUAUGACCUCCCCAACGUGAGGUUUCUUCCUUAUGAGGAUAAGACGUUGGACUCCAUGUAGCUCGCAUGGUGUAUGUCGGUUAACAGAAUCUCCCUAAUCGCAAGAUUUUUCAGAGUAGUUUCUUAAAGUAAAAUUUUCCCAAGAAGAAAGUAGUUUUUCCUAUUAGUAAGAGUAAGUAAUCAGUUUCUAAAGUAAAGUAUGUUCCUUGAGAUGAGAUUUAUACUAUGUGUUCCAUGAUUCAUAAUUUACGAGAUAUGCAUUUUUGAGUUUAUUCGAGUAUGUGAGUCAGUUAUAUUAGCAUGACAGUUUCAUAUCCCAAAACUACGUGCCAUCGUAGGAUUGAGAUUUAUGGGCCCAAGGCCGAGAUAGUGAUCACUGAGUUGAGGCUAUACUCCCUAACAAGAGUAUGACGCCUCUCCCCAACGUGAGGUUUCUUCCUUAUGAGGAUAAGACGUUGGACUCCAUGUAGCUCGCAUGGUGUAUGUCGGUUAACAGAAUCUCCCUAAUCGCAAGAUUUUUCAGAGUAGUUUCUUAAAGUAAAAUUUUCCCAAGAAGAAAGUAGUUUUUCCUAUUAGUAAGAGUAAGUAAUCAGUUUCUAAAGUAAAGUAUGUUCCUUGAGAUGAGAUUUAUACUAUGUGUUCCAUGAUUCAUAAUUUACGAGAUAUGCAUUUUUGAGUUUAUUCGAGUAUGUGAGUCAGUUAUAUUAGCAUGUAGCAUGCAUGAUUUCUGUAAAGAUUGAUGAUAUUAUUAUUUUAAGUAUCGCAUACACCCCCAUAUACUCAGUACAUCCUCAAAGUACUGAUCCAUAUAUACGUUUGUGUGCUACAUUGUCUCAUAAUGUAGGUUCAGGUGCUCAUUUUCAGCAGCGUCAGUGAUCUCCGAGUACCUUGAUCUACGCCUCUAUAGUUGGUGAGUCCUCAUGGUUCGAGGACCUGUUUUCCCUAAUUUCAGUCUUCAUAGUAGUUAGGUUAUUUCUUUUUAGUGGAGUAUGAGCCAGUUGGGGGUCUGUCCCAAUGGGUCUCUAGUUCUUGAGUAGUAGAGUCUUUGUCAGACUAGACUAUCAGUGGUGUUUUAGACUUUUCAGGAUGUUGCUAUUCAAACAGUAUUCUUUUGUUAUUUCAGUUGAGAUAUGUUAUGACAGUGCCAUUGUUUUGCUUUAUCCAUCUUAAAAGUAAGUGUCAGAAGUAGUAACAGGCUCAAAGGGUUAGCUUAGGGCUACUUGUAGCCUUAAGCACCGCGUGACGUCUCGAAAUGAGAUUUUGGGGCGUUACAGUUAUUUGUUUCUAACCCUGGUCGGUCGAUGAUGCUUAUUGGCACAUAUGAUUGUACUGAUGCUACACUUACUAUACCUCCACACAGGGGUAUAGCCAUGGUGCUGUUAGUUGGAGUUUCUAUAGAAGCAAUGUCGAUCGCUCAAAAACUGCUUCUACUAUUUCUAUUCUGCAUAGAUGUUGUGUCAUAGACGUAGCUACCCUUUGUCUAGUGAUCUUGUAUCUGUUUAAGGUAGGUUUAGGGGAGUCACUCGUAGUUGUUUUUCACAUAUAUUUUUCAUAUCUGAUGUAUUAUGUAUUAAAAUAAGUUAUGAAAAAAUUAAUAAUCGUUUUCAAACUGUUAAAUAGUUAUUAAAAUAAUAGACAAUAUUGAUUAAGUGAACUGUAGUAACUUCUACAUUGAUUUAAUAGUGGGAUAUUUAGAAUUCUCAUAUCUGAAAUAGGCGUAGGUAGGUGUCUGACACACUUCGAUGGGUUGGGUCAUGACAUAAUAUUCACAUAAGCCCCCACAGAUGAAACACAAAAACGGUAAUCAAUCCAAACAACGCAUAAAAAAUAAUGAGAUGUACCCAAAACCUAGCUUGUUCUUAUAUGUACACGAGUAUAUUACCCUGUAGUAUAAUGCGAUGUAUUUCAUAUACAUACUUUGACGAGUUAUCGAUUAAUUUGAUUAUUAGCUUACAUUAAUAAAACUUCAACGUACAGUAUAUUGUUACUU
RNAcentral lists this long non-coding RNA (9787 nucleotides) under Capsicum annuum. Its description in RNAcentral is "long non-coding RNA (CANN_LNC009539)". The record is from RNAcentral. Lineage: Eukaryota; Viridiplantae; Streptophyta; Magnoliopsida; Solanales; Solanaceae.